Molecule: ribosomal RNA, 253 nt
Filed under: uncultured bacterium
Lineage: Bacteria
Description: partial 16S ribosomal RNA
Rfam family: Bacterial small subunit ribosomal RNA
Source: RNAcentral
UACGGAGGGUGCAAACGUUGCUCGGAAUUAUUGGGCGUAAAGCGCACGUAGGCGGUCUAGCAAGUCGGGUGUGAAAGCCCUCAGCUUAACUGAGGAAGUGCAUUCGAAACUACUAGGCUUGAGUACUGAAGAGGACGACGGAAUUCCCGGUGUAGAGGUGAAAUUCGUAGAUAUCGGGAAGAACACCAACGGCGAAGGCAGCUCGCUGGGACGGUACUGACGCUGAGACGCGAAAGCGUGGGGAGCGAACAGG